CUUUGGGAUUUCGUGCGGGAUUGUUCGGAGCUGCGGCGAACGCGAGUUUCCAAUUGUGGUACAUUAUAGUUAAUACCAGAAGUGAAACAUUGAGCAACCUACCCCAACGCGUAACCGACUAACGGCGUGCGGGGCAGAAGAGGCCCAACGUAACUCGCGCUUUAUCCCCCCACCUACUAUAUAGUGUUGAAAUAUUGCGAAAAGACAGUUCUGUGGCAUGUGACACAUGUGAAAAUGCCCAAGGCGUGGCCCAAAAGCAAAGUGAAGCUGCAACAAAUUCCAAAUCGAAGCAACAUCUUGUGGCUGCCACGCAGAGUCAUGUUGUCGUCGCAAGCAGCCAGCCAGCAAGCUGCCAACACUGAAAUGAAGAAAUGAAUGUGACAUGUAAAAGCAAAUAUAACAACAACAUAAGCAACGAUAAAAAAAACAGCAACAAUAACAAUACAAACAAUAACGACAAAAGUAAUUUGAAUUUGUGCGAGCAACAGGAAACAAAACAAGACAGAAGCACACACACACACACACCGAUACAGAUAGAGAUAGAGAGAGAGGGAGAGAGAGUGCAAGUGUGAGCGAGAGACGGAUAGAGAAUGCAAAUUGUGUGCAUAUUUUGCUAGUGUAUGUGUGUGUUGUGUCCGUGUAAAUAAAUGCGAUAUAAAACGGCAACAGCAACAGCAACAGAAACAGAAUCAACAGCAACAGAAACAGCAGCAAAGUCCAAAAAGAAAAGAAUAACAAAAAGAAAAACGGCAAAAAGUGCAGUUAAGCGUAGAAAUUGCAUUAAAAAUUGAAAAAAAUAAAGUGGAAAGGCAAAAGAAGGGAAAGAAGAAGAACAGGAUAGUCGUGGCUAACGAGCGCUAAAAAGCAACAGGAAAAAAAAA
Molecule: long non-coding RNA, 881 nt
Organism: Drosophila innubila
Lineage: Eukaryota; Metazoa; Arthropoda; Insecta; Diptera; Drosophilidae
Exons: 2
Source: RefSeq, a predicted model, not a curated record